CCCGUUUCACGAUUCAUUUUAACGCCUAACUCGGCCUCGGAGACAGAUUUCCUCUCUUAUAGAUGGCGUAGCUGCACAUAUAUGAAUAUUCCGUACAUUACUGGAAACAUCGAUACAGAUUCAAUCAAUUCUGUUACCGCUUCCUGGAGUUAUCCUAGUAACGAUAUAAACGUCUUGUCGGAUCUCCAUAUGGCCUAUGGGUGACGAAACUUUAGACGUGGACAUUUCAUCGGCAGUGGAUAGUGCAGGUUGAUUAUUGCGUUAGCUUUUUUAGACGUUCCUACUCUACCAUCCUUUUUAUUUUCUGGACAAACGAAGUUAAACCUUGUACUUCGUUGAAAACGUGAUAUUAGGACAGUAUGUAACACUUGAUUUUGGAGCCAUUUUGCUAUUUGCCGCCAGCUCUCUGUAGUCCUACUGAUUAGAACAGCACAAGAGAACUCCUUCCGGCAAAACACCAUUCAAGUGCCACAGAAGAAAUCCAUUACGCUCUUUAACAGUCAAUAUUGACUGUCUCUAUGCCUAGACGACGUGUACGAUAGCAUGGUGACAAAAUUAGAACUCAUGUGAGGAAGUCGUCAUUUGUCUCACGCGCAUCGCAGGACUAAAAAUUUUAACUGUUCAUCUAUUAAGAUAUAAAAAUGGGCGAAUUGAAAUAUGAAAUAACGUGACUUUUUACUCUAAAGCCCUCUCAUUUGACUUUAAAAUAUGUUUUGGCAAUAUGAUAGCAUAAAUAGAUAUUGUUGUUUACUUCGCGCUUACAUAAAUAAAAUAAUAAAUUUCAUCUAAAUUAUCGCUCACUUUGGGUGUUGAAAUAAAUUUACCCCUUAGUGAUAGCACAUUGAGGGCAGUGAACCAAAGAAAAGUUUAUAAGAAAAACAAUUUUCAAAUGCAGUCUCAGUUGCUCAGGUGCUAACUCUGCUGUAAGGAUAGUAGGCAUUUGUAAGAUUUUUUACACUGUAAAAAAAUAGGACAAUCAGUCCACCCCCACCUCACAAGAGAUUAUGCUUCUUACCUCUCUUGCCCCAAUCAGUGUUUACAUUAAAAAACAA
This is a long non-coding RNA of Nematostella vectensis (starlet sea anemone), 1052 nucleotides long. RefSeq lists it as uncharacterized. NCBI's taxonomy places the organism in Eukaryota, Metazoa, Cnidaria, Anthozoa, Actiniaria, Edwardsiidae. The transcript has 3 exons. The record is from RefSeq and is a predicted model, not a curated record.